AGAGUUUGAUCCUGGCUCAGAACGAACGCUAGCGGCGGGCUUAACACAUGCAAGUCGAACGCACGAACCGACUUCGGUCGGUAAGUGAGUGGCGCACGGGUGAGUAACACGUAGGUAACGUACCUCGGAACGGGGGAUAACAGGCCGAAAGGCCUGCUAAUACCGCAUAAGACCCCAGAGCCUUCGGACUCAGGGGGAAAAGGUGGGGAUCUCUUCGGAGACCUAUCAUUCCGAGAGCGGCCUGCGGCCCAUUAGCUAGUAGGUGGGGUAAUGGCCCACCUAGGCUUUGAUGGGUAGCUGGUUUGAGAGAAUGAUCAGCCACACUGGAACUGAGACACGGUCCAGACUCCUACGGGAGGCAGCAGUGGGGAAUAUUGCGCAAUGGGCGAAAGCCUGACGCAGCCACGCCGCGUGAGUGACGAAGGCCUUCGGGUUGUAAAGCUCUGUCGCGAGGGAAGAAAUACUUGGAGUUAAUAGCUUCAGGGGAUGACGGUACCUCGCAAGAAAGCACCGGCUAACUCCGUGCCAGCAGCCGCGGUAAUACGGAGGGUGCGAGCGUUAAUCGGAAUUACUGGGCGUAAAGCGUACGCAGGCGGUUUGUUAAGCGAGAUGUGAAAGCCCCGGGCUCAACCUGGGAACUGCAUUUCGAACUGGCAAACUAGAGUGUGAUAGAGGGUGGUAGAAUUUCAGGUGUAGCGGUGAAAUGCGUAGAGAUCUGAAGGAAUACCGAUGGCGAAGGCAGCCACCUGGGUCAACACUGACGCUCAUGUACGAAAGCGUGGGGAGCAAACGGGAUUAGAUACCCCGGUAGUCCACGCCGUAAACGAUGUCUACUAGAAGCUCGGAACCUCGGUUCUGUUUUUCAAAGCUAACGCAUUAAGUAGACCGCCUGGGGAGUACGGCCGCAAGGUUAAAACUCAAAUGAAUUGACGGGGGCCCGCACAAGCGGUGGAGCAUGUGGUUUAAUUCGAUGCAACGCGAAGAACCUUACCUACACUUGACAUACAGAGAACUUACCAGAGAUGGUUUGGUGCCUUCGGGAACUCUGAUACAGGUGCUGCAUGGCUGUCGUCAGCUCGUGUUGUGAGAUGUUGGGUUAAGUCCCGCAACGAGCGCAACCCCUAUCCUUAGUUGCUAGCAGGUAAUGCUGAGAACUCUAAGGAGACUGCCGGUGAUAAACCGGAGGAAGGUGGGGACGACGUCAAGUCAUCAUGGCCCUUACGUGUAGGGCUACACACGUGCUACAAUGGCGCAUACAGAGUGCUGCGAACUCGCGAGAGUAAGCGAAUCACUUAAAGUGCGUCGUAGUCCGGAUUGGAGUCUGCAACUCGACUCCAUGAAGUCGGAAUCGCUAGUAAUCGCGUAUCAGAAUGACGCGGUGAAUACGUUCCCGGGCCUUGUACACACCGCCCGUCAAGCCAUGGAAGUCGGCAGUACCCGAAGCCGGUGUCCCAACUCUUCGGAGAGGGAGCCGUCGAAGGUAAGGCUGGUAACUAGGGCUAAGUCGUAACAAGGUAACC
This 1520-nucleotide ribosomal RNA is filed under the name uncultured bacterium. Its description in RNAcentral is "bacterial SSU rRNA". It matches the Rfam family "Bacterial small subunit ribosomal RNA". The record is from RNAcentral.